UCCCUUCACCGAAGUUCUCACAGCGGGACUUAAAGAGUCCCUCUUAUCAUUGUUCCCAAGGAUAAUCAGCUGAGCCCUCCUUGCCAAAGCACUUUUCUAGAGUUUUUCUUGCCAAGCACGUCAGCAAAGUUUUCCUCACCAAGAACUUUACUUCGUCUUCGCUCUAUCAAGGAUGACUGGAUGGGCCGUCCUUGCUUGGCCUCUCCACCCUCUUUUCUCGGCCUCCUAGUGAGCCCUCCUUGCUCGACAUCAACUGUGAGGCCAUGUCGUGGCCUCACCAUCAUCUGGAGGAAUAUUAGUGGCACCUAUCUCAUUG
This 316-nucleotide long non-coding RNA is filed under the name Elaeis guineensis (African oil palm). RNAcentral describes it as "long non-coding RNA (EGUI_LNC063172)". Lineage: Eukaryota; Viridiplantae; Streptophyta; Magnoliopsida; Arecales; Arecaceae. The record is from RNAcentral.